RNAcentral lists this long non-coding RNA (776 nucleotides) under Homo sapiens (human). RNAcentral's name for it is "HSALNT0352344". Lineage: Eukaryota; Metazoa; Chordata; Mammalia; Primates; Hominidae. The record is from RNAcentral.
GCACAGUGGUGGCCACCGCGACUGGUGCUGAAGUGUUGGCGCGUGCCGGGCGCUCCGCUGGGACCCGGGUUGCUGGCCCUGAGUCUCAGCUUUCUCAUCUGUACGGUUGGGACAAGUACAGUAACCCUCGCCCGUCAAGACGGGCCAGGGCUGUGGCGAGGGUCCACGCCUUAGAGCAGGCAGGAGUAGGGCUGAUUGGAGCCAUUGUACAGUGUCGGGAACAUACCAGGACACUGAGAAUAGUGUCAUGUCAUAAGGACCCAGAGCAGAUGGACCCUGCUGUGAUGCACAAAGCACGUGCUCUCUACGGUUAAUGUCAUCCUUGGGAAGCCCGUCUUGAACACCUGGAAGGUUUUACAACAGCAACGGACCAAGCAGAGUUCACAGCUACUACAUUCAGUGGGAAGGUUUUCCCAAGCACUACAAUUAGGAGAUAGCCCUCCUUUGUCCUUCUCCCAAACUAAUGUGCAGAUGAGCAGCAUGGUAAUCAUGUCCAGCCACCCAAAAACCUAUCAACAGAGGUUUGUUUUCCCAUACUUUGACCUCUGGGGCAAUGUGGUCAUUGACAAGAGCUAUCUAGAAAACUUGCCAUCAGAUUCACCUAUUGUCACCAUGGCUUUCCCAACUCUCCAAGCCAUCCUUGCCCAGGGUAUCCAGGAAAAUAAUUUUGCAGAGAGCUUAGUGAUGACGACCACUGUCAGCCAUAAUGUGACUAUGCCAUUCAGCAUUUCAAUGACUUUUAAGAACAACAGCCCUUCAGGCGGCGAAACAACAUG